This is a long non-coding RNA of Corvus hawaiiensis (hawaiian crow), 2076 nucleotides long. RefSeq lists it as uncharacterized. The transcript has 5 exons. The record is from RefSeq and is a predicted model, not a curated record. NCBI's taxonomy places the organism in Eukaryota, Metazoa, Chordata, Aves, Passeriformes, Corvidae.
GGGCCUCGCCGGGAGGGAUUUUUGAGUCGGCUUUGAAGGCGGGAAUGUCCCAGAAGGGGCCCCUUAGCCCACAUAAAGGGCAAGUCUUACUUUUGAUCACAAUGUCGAGGCGGGCAGAGCAGUCCCGGUGUGUGUCGUGUCACUUGUCUAUUGUAUGUUCUGUGUCUUUUGGGCAUCUUGUGUCUUAGGUCUUUUUCCUUAGCCCUUCGAGGGGCCAGCUUAUCGGAAAUGCUGGGCAUCAUCCUUAGCAUCCGUGUUCCUCGGCCGGGUGCCGAUACGGUCAGACCUUUGACUGACGAGCUCGGAUGCACAUCGGAAUUGCAUCUCUGUUUAGAAGCAUUGAGUCAGAGGUCUUUUAUGGUCUUGUUCUGAGCUGUAUUCACAGCUGUGCACCGCAGUGAUCCAUUACAGAGGAUUAGGACUUGUCAGAAUGCAAAGAGUGGUAGAGGAUUCUGACCGUACAAUUCUCGGGCAGCCAUCUUUGCGGUUCUCGGAAUAAGCCCUUCUGUUAGCAUCUUCUUCGAGCCUCGUCGGUCUCGCUGACAUCAUCUCGCUCCGCAUUCUCUUGGUCCUUGUGGUCAUUCCUCUUGCCGGAGUUUUCUCUCUUCAUCGCAUCUCCUCGUUUGUCAUUUCCUGUGUCACAGGUGCCUGCGUGGGUUUGGCCCAGAGCUGCUCUGCCCUGCCAUGUAGUCUGGUGUAUAGGUGUAGUAGGACAAGUCCCAAGGCCUUGAAAUCUGUAAUGUAGGGUGUAGUUUGGCCUCUAGCCGGUAUUCCUAGAUUGACACAGGAUGCCUGGAGCUGUUAAGUUAUCAUGCAGGACUCUGACUUUUGUCAUCGCUUUCUUUCAGAUGCAGAUGCAGAUGAAAUCUGUGGCAGGGCCCCCCAGACCGGGUGAGGGGGUUCCCUCAAGAAGGAGGUAAAGCCAGAUAGCAGCAGUCAAGGUCGAUGGAGUGAGGCGGUCUGCUUGUAUUACGCCGAAACCCCUCGCCGACCGGCCGACGGACCCGCUUCGCCACCGUUGUGAGUGCUCUGGAAGUAUUACGGGACUCUGCAAUGAAGCCUUUACAUUUUCUGUUCUGAGGUACCUUCCGGUACAUCCAUGGCCGAGGAGUUGCGGCAUACCCUGUGAUGACGGCGUUGGCCUUGGAGCGUGGCUGAAGCAUGCAGUCCGAGGACCCCGGCCUUCUUAGGAGAUGGAGAUGACAGCCCGGUGACGACAGGAGCUUCCCAGAGGGUGAGCCAGCCUUCUGUUGUGCCUGAGGAGGAUUCCCAUCUCCAGAUGUCUGAGAGAUAAGUUGAGGGCUACAAUCCACUGAGGGAAUGAAUGUGAGGUGUUGGGUCAGGGCUUGCUGGGAGGGAUUUUUGAGUCAGCUUUGGAGGUGGGGAUGUCCAGGAAGUGGCCCCUUAGGCCACAUAAAGGGCAAGUCUCACUUUUGAUCACAAUGCCGAGGUGAGCAGAGCAGUCCCAGUGUGUGUCACUUUUCUAUUGUAUGUUCUGUGUCUUCUGGGCAUCUUCUGUUGCAGGUCUUUUGCCUUAGCCCUUUGAGAUGCUUAUUGGAAACGCUGGGUUUAGCAUCUCUGCUCGGUGCUCCUCGGCCCGGUGCCGAUACCAUCUAUCCUUUGACGCGAGAGCUUGGAGGCGCAUCAGAAUUGCAUCUCUCUUUAGAAGCAUUGAGUCAGAGGUCUUUUAUGGUCUUGUUCUGAGCUGUAUUCACAGCUGCAUGCCGCAAUGAUCCAUUAUAGCAGAUUAGGACUUGUCAGAAUGUGAAGAGUGGUAGAGGGUUCUGACCGUAUGAUUCUCGGGCAUCUGUCUUUGCAGUUCUCAGAAUAAGUCCUUCUUCUGCCAGGGUUCUUCAAGCCUCGUCGGCUCACCGUCAGUCUCGCCUAGGUCAUCUCAUUCCUUGUUCUCUCGGUCCUUGCGAUCGUUCUUCUCGCCUAGGGUUUUCUCUUCAUCGCAUCCCCUCCUUUGUCCUUGCCUGUGUCACAGGUGUCUGCAUGAAUUUGGCCCAGAGCUGCUCUGCCCUGCUGCACGGUCUGGCAUAUGGGUGUAAUAGGACAAGGCCUGGGGACUUGUAA